UUAACUAUUAUAUAGUACUCAGACGACACUAAUAUUCAGGGUUUGGGGUUCUCUGGCGGGCGCUUACCAGCCGGAGCCGGUAGUCUGGCCGAAGCUAGACGGCCCGCCAAAGCAACAAAGGUAAUAAUAACACAGGGUGGGAGAUCUACCCGUAAGGGCAUGAACUCUGUAAUGAUCCCUCCGCAGGUUCACCUACGGAGA
RNAcentral lists this unclassified non-coding RNA (201 nucleotides) under uncultured fungus. RNAcentral's name for it is "sequence contains ITS1". The record is from RNAcentral. Lineage: Eukaryota; Fungi.